AUGGUCUAGCGGUUAGGAUU
This 20-nucleotide non-coding RNA is filed under the name Mus musculus (house mouse). Lineage: Eukaryota; Metazoa; Chordata; Mammalia; Rodentia; Muridae. The record is from RNAcentral.